Molecule: long non-coding RNA, 504 nt
Organism: Sander lucioperca (pikeperch)
Lineage: Eukaryota; Metazoa; Chordata; Actinopteri; Perciformes; Percidae
Exons: 3
Source: RefSeq, a predicted model, not a curated record
AAACGUGACAUAAAAGACGUAUAAAAAACGUUUGUUUCGUAGAUUAGAUCAGAUGGUUUAGCUUAGUUUAAAAACAGUCUAACGAUAUUAGAAUAAUAACUUUAUGUUUUAGCUUCGUUUUAUUCAAGUAACGUUAUUAAAUAUAAAUCCUAUCACGAUUUGCGUUACAAAUAAAUACCAGCAAAGAACUACGGCGGGCGAAGACAGAAACACAUUGAAGAGAUCGCUCUAUCUGGCACCCCGCCCGCUGGAUCUUCACACAGGGAAAAACAAGCGCACCUCUUCAACUGACGUAACCCCCAGUCACCCCACAUCGUCGUCUCUCGCUCUCGAUGAGUCGGAACAGCAGCAACUAAUUUUCUUAAAAAACACAUCUGGUUCCUGGGGCAGGGAAGCGAGAUGGAUGAUCAUGUUCAAAAUAAACUGGUAGAAUGGGACCUGGGUGAUUUACUCUCUACAUUUGAAGACAGGCACAUCGCUUUGCUUCUGCUACCUGUGGUGACC